CCGUCUUCCACACCCUUCCUCCUCCUUCCUUCCUCGCUCGUCAGCCGCCACAGCCGCCGUACCCUCCCGCGUCGGACGCCGCUAGACUCGUCCAUGGCUCCAUCUCUCAUCCCAGCCUGACUCAGGCGGAGUCAUGGGUAGCAGAGAGGAGGAAGGGAGGCAGAUGAACGAUGGGGAAGGGGAUGGCAUAAUCCAAUCGCCCCGGGCCGUGCCUACACGAGUAGCCCCGCGGCUUGAUUCUUCCCUGCCUGACGAGGGGUAGGUCUUGACAAUGGCAGCCCGAGGCCGUCAGAUCCGUCACCGUCGUCGUUCUUUUGGUCGAGGAAGCCGUCGUCCACGUGCUCCUUUUCACCACCACUGCUGGACGCUGAUUUGCCCAGUUCCCAGUCCAGAUUUAAUGAAGGAAAUUGUUGUUCAUACAACGUCAAUUAUGGAUAUGGUUCCAUCUUGUUGUGCUGGACGAAGGGUUGGAUGGAAUAAGAAUUGCUUCCUCUAGGAAGAUAUAAUCAGGAGGGACCAUCUAAUAGUUGCUAAAGUUACUUCUGAACGCACUCUCUAAAGAUCGGGCUGGGCUUGACUGGGUUUUUGGAGUUCUCUUCUCGUUUCUUAGGAUCCUCAUGCUGUUUGACAAGGGGUUCCUUGCAAUGGGAAAUGUUCUCUUCGUCUCUGGUGUUUCUCUAACGAUUGGACUGAAGUCAACUUUCCAGUUCUUCACAAAGCCUAAGAAUCGCAAGGAUUGUCCAUCUUUCAGUUGGAUUAAGGUUUUCCUAUUGUCUGCAAAUGAAACGUACUUGAUGUACAUCUGGUAUGAUAAAAGAAGAGAUUGACCUUUUCUUUUGUAAAAUUUUCUGCAGACGAUGUUGUGGAGAUUGAUUUGAGAAUUUGCGUGCUUAUUAGUUCCACUACUUUUUUCUCAUUAACUGAUAUUAGACGUGGUGUAUAAAUGUUGCACCCGACUCUAUUUUUCAAGGAUAUACGAAUGAAGCUAUAGUACUUGCAAACUGUGACUCCUCUUUGCUGGACAAGGAAAGUAAAAUGAUAACCUACCAUGUAGUAAAAUUACAUGGUUGAUCUCUGUUUUGUACAUGUUAGGUGAGCAUUAUGAAAUGUUCUACUUCCCUUAAUAGAGUGUAUUUUCCUCUCAUCAAAUGCUCACUUAUAUUUCUGGAAUAAACAAAUAUUUUGUGUUGUAACAUGUUUUGAGUUUCGAUGAUUUACCAUCUGCCUUCUCCUCUGCUUUAUGUCGCUUCUCUAAAUUAUUUCUCCGGGCCACUACCAUAACUUGCUGGUUUAGUUUAGGUGUGUAGGCAGAAUUUUUCAUGUGAUUGUUUGAAACUACAACCACGUUGAAUGUGCUUUUGUUUAUUUAUCAAGGAUCGACAGUCUGAGAUGUAGUGCAUUUUGAUAUCUGAUGUUGCUGCUAUAAAAUGUGUUGCACUCUGGGUUGUGAUACCUGUACAUCUAACAGGUAGUUCAGACUUUUUCUUUCCAAGUCCUAUUGUGGCUGUACCAUUUUACUUGCGUGUGUAUGCAGGUGUUCUUUUGGCAUCAUACACUCCCCUGUGAAGUGCGUGUUUAAUCAUCAUGCAAUGGGCAUAUGGAUUUGAGGUGUAAGGUGGUGUUGGAACUGAUUGAUGCUACUGGGUUCUUCAUAUGUUUUGUUCUUGGAACGUUUGUGCCAUUAAAAAUUCAAACAAUGUAUGCGUGCUCGCUUAGCUCUAACCAUAUGCCAUGCGCUGGCUUUAGUUUGGUUAAAGAAGUCAACUCCAUUAGAGAGUUUAUAGCUUUGUACAGUGUCUACAGUUCUAGAGCUUCAUUUUUCCUAUUGCCAUGCGUGUACAGUUUCAGAGCUUCAUCACAUUGUGGUAGGGAAAGAUAGUAUGCAGAAUGUCAAAAGCUUUAUUUUUGUCCA
RNA transcript from Triticum aestivum (bread wheat), 1912 nucleotides. It is a transcript of the gene named vesicle transport protein GOT1, with no coding region annotated. The transcript has 6 exons. NCBI's taxonomy places the organism in Eukaryota, Viridiplantae, Streptophyta, Magnoliopsida, Poales, Poaceae. The record is from RefSeq and is a predicted model, not a curated record.